This 132-nucleotide non-coding RNA is filed under the name Elusimicrobiota bacterium. RNAcentral's name for it is "Elusimicrobia bacterium c-di-GMP sequence". It matches the Rfam family "c-di-GMP-I riboswitch aptamer". From Rfam's summary of the family: GEMM was predicted in a large-scale screen for bacterial structured RNA regulatory elements. Genes associated with GEMM are involved in a diverse array of functions, including chemotaxis regulation, signal transduction, secretion and chitin. The record is from RNAcentral. Lineage: Bacteria; Pseudomonadati; Elusimicrobiota.
AAACGAGAAUAGCAAACCUUUCGAUAAACUCAGGGCAAGCCCUUCAGUAAAAAUGGGUGCCCGCCCCGAGCGUAGUCGAGGGGGGCGCAAAGUCGAAGCCCCGUGAAAUACACGGGGGGCUGGACUGCCGAA